UGGCUCAGGACGAACGCUGGCGGCGUGCCUAAUACAUGCAAGUCGAACGAACUCUGGUAUUGAUUGGUGCUUGCAUCAUGAUUUACAUUUGAGUGAGUGGCGAACUGGUGAGUAACACGUGGGAAACCUGCCCAGAAGCGGGGGAUAACACCUGGAAACAGAUGCUAAUACCGCAUAACAACUUGGACCGCAUGGUCCGAGUUUGAAAGAUGGCUUCGGCUAUCACUUUUGGAUGGUCCCGCGGCGUAUUAGCUAGAUGGUGGGGUAACGGCUCACCAUGGCAAUGAUACGUAGCCGACCUGAGAGGGUAAUCGGCCACAUUGGGACUGAGACACGGCCCAAACUCCUACGGGAGGCAGCAGUAGGGAAUCUUCCACAAUGGACGAAAGUCUGAUGGAGCAACGCCGCGUGAGUGAAGAAGGGUUUCGGCUCGUAAAACUCUGUUGUUAAAGAAGAACAUAUCUGAGAGUAACUGUUCAGGUAUUGACGGUAUUUAACCAGAAAGCCACGGCUAACUACGUGCCAGCAGCCGCGGUAAUACGUAGGUGGCAAGCGUUGUCCGGAUUUAUUGGGCGUAAAGCGAGCGCAGGCGGUUUUUUAAGUCUGAUGUGAAAGCCUUCGGCUCAACCGAAGAAGUGCAUCGGAAACUGGGAAACUUGAGUGCAGAAGAGGACAGUGGAACUCCAUGUGUAGCGGUGAAAUGCGUAGAUAUAUGGAAGAACACCAGUGGCGAAGGCGGCUGUCUGGUCUGUAACUGACGCUGAGGCUCGAAAGUAUGGGUAGCAAACAGGAUUAGAUACCCUGGUAGUCCAUACCGUAAACGAUGAAUGCUAAGUGUUGGAGGGUUUCCGCCCUUCAGUGCUGCAGCUAACGCAUUAAGCAUUCCGCCUGGGGAGUACGGCCGCAAGGCUGAAACUCAAAGGAAUUGACGGGGGCCCGCACAAGCGGUGGAGCAUGUGGUUUAAUUCGAAGCUACGCGAAGAACCUUACCAGGUCUUGACAUACUAUGCAAAUCUAAGAGAUUAGACGUUCCCUUCGGGGACAUGGAUACAGGUGGUGCAUGGUUGUCGUCAGCUCGUGUCGUGAGAUGUUGGGUUAAGUCCCGCAACGAGCGCAACCCUUAUUAUCAGUUGCCAGCAUUAAGUUGGGCACUCUGGUGAGACUGCCGGUGACAAACCGGAGGAAGGUGGGGAUGACGUCAAAUCAUCAUGCCCCUUAUGACCUGGGCUACACACGUGCUACAAUGGAUGGUACAACGAGUUGCGAACUCGCGAGAGUAAGCUAAUCUCUUAAAGCCAUUCUCAGUUCGGAUUGUAGGCUGCAACUCGCCUACAUGAAGUCGGAAUCGCUAGUAAUCGCGGAUCAGCAUGCCGCGGUGAAUACGUUCCCGGGCCUUGUACACACCGCCCGUCACACCAUGAGAGUUUGUAACACCCAAAGUCGGUGGGGUAACCUUUUAGGAACCAGCCGCCUAAGG
Molecule: ribosomal RNA, 1477 nt
Filed under: Lactiplantibacillus pentosus
Lineage: Bacteria; Bacillati; Bacillota; Bacilli; Lactobacillales; Lactobacillaceae
Description: bacterial SSU rRNA
Rfam family: Bacterial small subunit ribosomal RNA
Source: RNAcentral